UACGUAGGUCCCGAGCGUUGUCCGGAUUUAUUGGGCGUAAAGCGAGCGCAGGUGGUUUAUUAAGUCUGGUGUAAAAGGUAGUGGCUCAACCAUUGUAUGCAUUGGAAACUGGUAGACUUGAGUGCAGGAGAGGAGAGUGGAAUUCCAUGUGUAGCGGUGAAAUGCGUAGAUAUAUGGAGGAACACCGGUGGCGAAAGCGGCUCUCUGGCCUGUAACUGACACUGAGGCUCGAAAGCGUGGGGAGCAAACAGG
RNAcentral lists this ribosomal RNA (252 nucleotides) under uncultured bacterium. RNAcentral describes it as "partial 16S ribosomal RNA". It matches the Rfam family "Bacterial small subunit ribosomal RNA", at positions 524 to 776 of the family's 1533-position model. The record is from RNAcentral.